Molecule: ribosomal RNA, 481 nt
Filed under: uncultured bacterium
Lineage: Bacteria
Description: bacterial SSU rRNA
Rfam family: Bacterial small subunit ribosomal RNA
Source: RNAcentral
GACGAACGCUGGCGGCGUGCUUAACACAUGCAAGUCGAACGAGAAUCUACUGAAAGAGUUUUCGGACAAUGGAUGUAGAGGAAAGUGGCGGACGGGUGAGUAACGCGUGAGGAACCUGCCUUGAAGAGGGGGACAACAGUUGGAAACGACUGCUAAUACCGCAUGACGCAUAGAGGUCGCAUGAUCUUUAUGCCAAAGAUUUAUCGCUUCAAGAUGGCCUCGCGUCUGAUUAGCUAGUUGGCGGGGUAACGGCCCACCAAGGCGACGAUCAGUAGCCGGACUGAGAGGUUGAACGGCCACAUUGGGACUGAGAUACGGCCCAGACUCCUACGGGAGGCAGCAGUGGGGAAUAUUGGGCAAUGGGCGCAAGCCUGACCCAGCAACGCCGCGUGAAGGAAGAAGGCUUUCGGGUUGUAAACUUCUUUUAAGAGGGAAGAGCAGAAGACGGUACCUCUAGAAUAAGCCACGGCUAACUACGUGC